GGGUUGUGAGGUUAAGCGACUAAGCGUACACGGUGGAUGCCCUGGCAGUCAGAGGCGAUGAAGGACGUGCUAAUCUGCGAAAAGCGUCGGUAAGGUGAUAUGAACCGUUAUAACCGGCGAUGUCCGAAUGGGGAAACCCAGUGUGAUUCGUCACACUAUCGUUAACUGAAUACAUAGGUUAACGAGGCGAACCGGGGGAACUGAAACAUCUAAGUACCCCGAGGAAAAGAAAUCAACCGAGAUUCCCCCAGUAGCGGCGAGCGAACGGGGAGCAGCCCAGAGUCUGAAUCAGCUUGUGUGUUAGUGGAACGGUCUGGAAAGUCCGACGGUACAGGGUGAUAGUCCCGUACACCAAAAUGCACAGGUUGUGAACUCGAAGAGUAGGGCGGGACACGUGGUAUCCUGUCUGAAUAUGGGGGGACCAUCCUCCAAGGCUAAAUACUCCUGACUGACCGAUAGUGAACCAGUACCGUGAGGGAAAGGCGAAAAGAACCCCGGCGAGGGGAGUGAAAAAGAACCUGAAACCGUGUACGUACAAGCAGUGGGAGCACCUUCGGGUGUGACUGCGUACCUUUUGUAUAAUGGGUCAGCGACUUAUAUUCUGUAGCAAGGUUAACCGUAUAGGGGAGCCGCAGGGAAACCGAGUCUUAACUGGGCGUUAAGUUGCAGGGUAUAGACCCGAAACCCGGUGAUCUAGCCAUGGGCAGGUUGAAGGUUGGGUAACACUAACUGGAGGACCGAACCGACUAAUGUUGAAAAAUUAGCGGAUGACUUGUGGCUGGGGGUGAAAGGCCAAUCAAACCGGGAGAUAGCUGGUUCUCCCCGAAAGCUAUUUAGGUAGCGCCUCGUGAAUUCAUCUUCGGGGGUAGAGCACUGUUUCGGCUAGGGGGUCAUCCCGACUUACCAACCCGAUGCAAACUACGAAUACCGAAGAAUGUUAUCACGGGAGACACACGGCGGGUGCUAACGUCCGUCGUGAAGAGGGAAACAACCCAGACCGCCAGCUAAGGUCCCAAAGUCAUGGUUAAGUGGGAAACGAUGUGGGAAGGCACAGACAGCCAGGAUGUUGGCUUAGAAGCAGCCAUCAUUUAAAGAAAGCGUAAUAGCUCACUGGUCGAGUCGGCCUGCGCGGAAGAUGUAACGGGGCUAAACCAUGCACCGAAGCUGCGGCAGCGACACUAUGUGUUGUUGGGUAGGGGAGCGUUCUGUAAGCCUGCGAAGGUGUGCUGUGAGGCAUGCUGGAGGUAUCAGAAGUGCGAAUGCUGACAUAAGUAACGAUAAAGCGGGUGAAAAGCCCGCUCGCCGGAAGACCAAGGGUUCCUGUCCAACGUUAAUCGGGGCAGGGUGAGUCGACCCCUAAGGCGAGGCCGAAAGGCGUAGUCGAUGGGAAACAGGUUAAUAUUCCUGUACUUGGUGUUACUGCGAAGGGGGGACGGAGAAGGCUAUGUUAGCCGGGCGACGGUUGUCCCGGUUUAAGCAUGUAGGCUGGUUAUCCAGGCAAAUCCGGAUAAUCAAGGCUGAGGUGUGAUGACGAGGCACUACGGUGCUGAAGUAACAAAUGCCCUGCUUCCAGGAAAAGCCUCUAAGCAUCAGGUAACAUCAAAUCGUACCCCAAACCGACACAGGUGGUCAGGUAGAGAAUACCAAGGCGCUUGAGAGAACUCGGGUGAAGGAACUAGGCAAAAUGGUGCCGUAACUUCGGGAGAAGGCACGCUGGUGUGUAGGUGAAGUCCCUGCGGAUGGAGCUGAGACCAGUCGAAGAUACCAGCUGGCUGCAACUGUUUAUUAAAAACACAGCACUGUGCAAACACGAAAGUGGACGUAUACGGUGUGACGCCUGCCCGGUGCCGGAAGGUUAAUUGAUGGGGUUAUCCGUAAGGAGAAGCUCUUGAUCGAAGCCCCGGUAAACGGCGGCCGUAACUAUAACGGUCCUAAGGUAGCGAAAUUCCUUGUCGGGUAAGUUCCGACCUGCACGAAUGGCGUAAUGAUGGCCAGGCUGUCUCCACCCGAGACUCAGUGAAAUUGAACUCGCUGUGAAGAUGCAGUGUACCCGCGGCAAGACGGAAAGACCCCGUGAACCUUUACUAUAGCUUGACACUGAACAUUGAGCCUUGAUGUGUAGGAUAGGUGGGAGGCUUUGAAACGUGGACGCCAGUCUGCGUGGAGCCAACCUUGAAAUACCACCCUUUAAUGUUUGAUGUUCUAACGUUGGCCCCUUACCGGGGUUGCGGACAGUGUCUGGUGGGUAGUUUGACUGGGGCGGUCUCCUCCCAAAGCGUAACGGAGGAGCACGAAGGUUAGCUAAUCCUGGUCGGACAUCAGGAGGUUAGUGCAAUGGCAUAAGCUAGCUUGACUGCGAGCGUGACGGCGCGAGCAGGUGCGAAAGCAGGUCAUAGUGAUCCGGUGGUUCUGAAUGGAAGGGCCAUCGCUCAACGGAUAAAAGGUACUCCGGGGAUAACAGGCUGAUACCGCCCAAGAGUUCAUAUCGACGGCGGUGUUUGGCACCUCGAUGUCGGCUCAUCACAUCCUGGGGCUGAAGUAGGUCCCAAGGGUAUGGCUGUUCGCCAUUUAAAGUGGUACGCGAGCUGGGUUUAGAACGUCGUGAGACAGUUCGGUCCCUAUCUGCCGUGGGCGCUGGAGAAUUGAGGGGGGCUGCUCCUAGUACGAGAGGACCGGAGUGGACGCAUCACUGGUGUUCGGGUUGUCAUGCCAAUGGCACUGCCCGGUAGCUAAAUGCGGAAGAGAUAAGUGCUGAAAGCAUCUAAGCACGAAACUUGCCCCGAGAUGAGUUCUCCCUGAGACUUUAAGUCUCCUGAAGGAACGUUGAAGACGACGACGUUGAUAGGCCGGGUGUGUAAGCGCAGCGAUGCGUUGAGCUAACCGGUACUAAUGAACCGUGAGGCUUAACCUUACAACGCCGAAG
Molecule: ribosomal RNA, 2923 nt
Filed under: Klebsiella pneumoniae subsp. pneumoniae KPNIH27
Lineage: Bacteria; Pseudomonadati; Pseudomonadota; Gammaproteobacteria; Enterobacterales; Enterobacteriaceae
Description: bacterial LSU rRNA
Rfam family: Bacterial large subunit ribosomal RNA
Source: RNAcentral